RNAcentral lists this unclassified non-coding RNA (197 nucleotides) under rhizosphere metagenome. RNAcentral's name for it is "partial ribosomal RNA internal transcribed spacer region". The record is from RNAcentral.
GUAGGUGAACCUGCGGAAGGAUCAUUAUCGUGGGGCUCCGGCCCUGUCGAGAUAGAACCCUUGCCUUUUUCGAGCACCGUCCGUGUCCUCGGCAGGCUCGCCUGCCAGUGGGGACCCCCCAAAAACCAAACCAAUUCCGUAUCGUCUGAGAAACAAACCAAUAAUCAAAACUUUCAACAAUGGAUCUCUUGGCUCUG